GCAAAUACAUUCCAAGACAGUAGAUCCAUCAGCAAAUCUACAACACUGACAGUGAUAAUACUUCAUGACAUUGUUCUAUGAUGCAUCAAGAAAUAAUUGUAAUUACAGAUCCAUCAACAGAGUGGAAUUUCACGGAUUAAAAUGCACUGAAUAAUCACCGAAAUUUCAGAUAAGACCAGGACAGUUCACCCCAAAUUCUGAAGGUGAAAAUUGCAAAUCACAGUCAUGGAAACCCCGCUAAUUUCCUAGAUUUGUCCUCGUCGAAAAAAAACAGAUUUGAACACCACAAAUCUGACCUCGUACAAAAAAAAUCGAGGAAACUUUUCAGAGAGAAAAAUGAGGAAAGAAAACGAUUUGGAGAAGAGCUCGCCGGAUCGGUGCUUGUCUGGUCGCCAUCCUUCAUCCCCUAAGUCUCAGCCCGAGCCAGAUCUGCAGUGAUAGGCCAUCGGCCUCAUGCUUCCGAGUACCUGGAUUCAUCGGGCCGUUUGUGGGGUGGCCUGGUGGUCGGAUCCGUCGGUGGCUGGGGGCGAUGUGGCAGCGGAGCUUCGUCCUGAGCACCGGUGACGGGUGGGUGGUGUUGGAGGCGGUGACGGAUCGGGAUUAAGUAUGAACAAGCAGAUUUAUCAAGCCAAAAAACCUGGAUCGAAAAAUUGAUUUGAAUAAAGGGAGACAAGUAGAUUUACUAACCCAGUGGUGCUCGCACUUGUAGAAGUGUUUCCCGGGGUUCUUUGGUGUCUAGGAAAUCCACCACUCGACAUCGCCGUUGUUGCACCACGGGCAUCGGAUGAGAGGGAGAGGAGCCUGCUCUUGGAGGAAGGGGGCGAGUGAAUGCGAGGUCGAGGAUGAGGCACACAUCUCGCCGGUACAGAGAGGUCGCAGUGUUUAGAUAUGAGAGGAGAACAAUGGGGAACGGAUAGAGGAUGAGGAAGAAGAACAGUGAUCGGGCGGCAUAGAUAUCAGCCAGCCCGUCUACUUCAAUGCGCGUCGGGUGGACCGUGAGCUGAA
Molecule: long non-coding RNA, 1005 nt
Filed under: Triticum aestivum (bread wheat)
Lineage: Eukaryota; Viridiplantae; Streptophyta; Magnoliopsida; Poales; Poaceae
Description: long non-coding RNA (TAES_LNC023416)
Source: RNAcentral